AGUCACGGGGGCCCGCAAGGGCAACCGGCGAACGGGUGCGUAACACGUGAGCAACCUGCCUUUGUGUGGGGGAUAGCCGGGCUAACGCCCGGGUAAUACCGCAUACGGUCACUGGGAGGAGUCUCCUGGUGAAGAAACCUCCGGGGCACAGAGAGGGGCUCGCGGCCUAUCAGCUUGUUGGCGGGGUAACGGCCCACCAAGGCGACGACGGGUAGCUGGUCUGAGAGGAUGGCCAGCCACAUUGGGACUGAGAGACGGCCCAGACUCCUACGGGAGGCAGCAGUGGGGAAUCUUGCGCAAUGGCCGAAAGGCUGACGCAGCGACGCCGCGUGUGGGAGGACGCCUUUCGGGGUGUAAACCACUGUUGCCCGGGACGAACAGCGCUUUUCGAGGCGUCUGACGGUACCGGGUGAGGAAGCACCGGCUAACUCCGUGCCAGCAGCCGCGGUAAUACGGAGGGUGCGAGCGUUGUCCGGAAUCAUUGGGCGUAAAGGGCGCGUA
This 501-nucleotide ribosomal RNA is filed under the name uncultured bacterium. Its description in RNAcentral is "bacterial SSU rRNA". It matches the Rfam family "Bacterial small subunit ribosomal RNA", at positions 60 to 573 of the family's 1533-position model. The record is from RNAcentral.